This 367-nucleotide ribosomal RNA is filed under the name uncultured bacterium. RNAcentral's name for it is "bacterial SSU rRNA". It matches the Rfam family "Bacterial small subunit ribosomal RNA", at positions 434 to 793 of the family's 1533-position model. The record is from RNAcentral.
CUAGCAGUGAGAAGGUGGGUAUGUUAAUAGCAUAUUCAUUUGACGUUAGCUGCAGAAGAAGCACCGGCUAACUCCGUGCCAGCAGCCGCGGUAAUACGGAGGGUGCGAGCGUUAAUCGGAAUUACGUGGGCGUAAAGCGCAUGCAGGUUGGUUGUUAAGUCAGAUGUGAAACGCCCGGGGCUCAACCUCGGAAUUGCAUUUAGAAACUGGACAAACUAGAGUACUGUAGAGGGGGUAGAAUUUCAGGUGUAGCGGUGAAAUGCGUAGAGAUCUGAAGGAAUACCGGUGGCGAAGGCGGCCCCCUGGACAGAUACUGACACUCAGAUGCGAAAGCGUGGGGAGCAAACAGGAUUAGAUACCCUGGUAG